RNAcentral lists this ribosomal RNA (591 nucleotides) under Clostridioides difficile. Its description in RNAcentral is "bacterial SSU rRNA". It matches the Rfam family "Bacterial small subunit ribosomal RNA", at positions 228 to 841 of the family's 1533-position model. The record is from RNAcentral. Lineage: Bacteria; Bacillati; Bacillota; Clostridia; Peptostreptococcales; Peptostreptococcaceae.
GACCCGCGUCUGAUUAGCUAGUUGGUAAGGUAACGGCUUACCAAGGCGACGAUCAGUAGCCGACCUGAGAGGGUGAUCGGCCACAUUGGAACUGAGACACGGUCCAAACUCCUACGGGAGGCAGCAGUGGGGAAUAUUGCACAAUGGGCGAAAGCCUGAUGCAGCAACGCCGCGUGAGUGAUGAAGGCCUUCGGGUCGUAAAACUCUGUCCUCAAGGAAGAUAAUGACGGUACUUGAGGAGGAAGCCCCGGCUAACUACGUGCCAGCAGCCGCGGUAAUACGUAGGGGGCUAGCGUUAUCCGGAUUUACUGGGCGUAAAGGGUGCGUAGGCGGUCUUUCAAGUCAGGAGGGAAAGGCUACGGCUCAACCGUAGUAAGCUCUUGAAACUGGGAGACUUGAGUGCAGGAGAGGAGAGUGGAAUUCCUAGUGUAGCGGUGAAAUGCGUAGAUAUUAGGAGGAACACCAGUUGCGAAGGCGGCUCUCUGGACUGUAACUGACGCUGAGGCACGAAAGCGUGGGGAGCAAACAGGAUUAGAUACCCUGGUAGUCCACGCUGUAAACGAUGAGUACUAGGUGUCGGGGGUUACCCCC